CCUACGGGUGGCAGCAGUGAGGAAUAUUGGUCAAUGGACGAGAGUCUGAACCAGCCAAGUAGCGUGAAGGAUGACUGCCCUAUGGGUUGUAAACUUCUUUUAUAUGGGAAUAAAAUGUUCCACGUGUGGGCGUUUGUAUGUACCAUAUGAAUAAGGAUCGGCUAACUCCGUGCCAGCAGCCGCGGUAAUACGGAGGAUCCGAGCGUUAUCCGGAUUUAUUGGGUUUAAAGGGAGCGUAGGUGGCUUGUUAAGUCAGGUGUGAAAGGUUGCGGCUCAACCGUAAGAGUGCCGUUGAAACUGGCAGGCUUGAGUACAGUAGAGGUGGGCGGAAUGCGUGGUGUAGCGGUGAAAUGCUUAGAUAUCACGAAGAACUCCGAUUGCGAAGGCAGCUCACUGGACUGCAACUGACACUGAGGCACGAAAGUGUGGGUAUCGAACAGGAUUAGAUACCCCUGUAGUC
RNAcentral lists this ribosomal RNA (460 nucleotides) under uncultured bacterium. RNAcentral describes it as "partial 16S ribosomal RNA". It matches the Rfam family "Bacterial small subunit ribosomal RNA", at positions 338 to 795 of the family's 1533-position model. The record is from RNAcentral.